GAUGAACGCUAGCGAUAGGCUUAACACAUGCAAGUCGAGGGGCAGCAUGGUCUUAGCUUGCUAAGACUGAUGGCGACCGGCGCACGGGUGCGUAACGCGUAUGCAACUUGCCUCACAGAGGGGGAUAACCCGUCGAAAGACGGACUAAUACCGCGUACACUCUAUUUUGGGCAUCCAAGGUAGAGGAAAUGAAAUUCGCUGUGAGAUAGGCAUGCGUCCCAUUAGCUAGUUGGUGAGGUAACGGCUCACCAAGGCGACGAUGGGUAGGGGAACUGAGAGGUUGAACCCCCACACUGGUACUGAGACACGGACCAGACGCCUACGGGAGGCAGCAGUGAGGAAUAUUGGUCAAUGGGCGAGGGCCUGAACCAGCCAAGUCGCGUGAAGGAUGACUGUCUUAUGGAUUGUAAACUUCUUUUGUAGGGGAAGAAAGAGGGGCACGUGUGCCCCAGUGAAUGUACCCUACGAAUAAGCAUCGGCUAACUCCGUG
This 490-nucleotide ribosomal RNA is filed under the name uncultured bacterium. RNAcentral describes it as "partial 16S ribosomal RNA". It matches the Rfam family "Bacterial small subunit ribosomal RNA", at positions 28 to 507 of the family's 1533-position model. The record is from RNAcentral.